GGGGCCGCCCGGUUUUGACAGCAUAGAUCUUUGAAAGUGUAAGCAUGUAGUGCGUUGGAUUAUUAGCACUUUAAUCUGAAGAUUCAAAUUUUAAAUGGCGAAACAUCUUUCGCAAUGGCUGCUUAGUAUUCUAAGUACCCAUUAUGGACUUUCAUUUCGGGUCGGUUUAUAACCUACGUUGAAACUCCUUCAUCAGAAAAUAUAAAUUGCGGUAUGAUAAAGCUGUAAAGCGUAUCAAAGUAAAAAAAUAGCUACGGAACUAAAAGGUUUGUUUUGCUCCAUUUAUUUCCCGACAAUUAAUGCAAAAAUAAACAUGUAGAAAGCUUUUGCAGAAUGUGUUUGGACAGGGGUUCGACUCCCCUCGGCUCCACUU
Molecule: non-coding RNA, 373 nt
Organism: Bacteroidetes bacterium OLB11
Lineage: Bacteria; Pseudomonadati; Bacteroidota
Source: Rfam